CGGUCCAUGGUGUAACAGGAGCACAGCGGCCUUUUAAGCCGUCAUGCCAGGGUGCAAAUCCCUGUGGACCGACCA
Molecule: transfer RNA, 75 nt
Filed under: Opitutaceae bacterium
Lineage: Bacteria; Pseudomonadati; Verrucomicrobiota; Opitutia; Opitutales; Opitutaceae
Description: tRNA-Lys
Rfam family: tRNA
About the family: Transfer RNA (tRNA) molecules are approximately 80 nucleotides in length.
Source: RNAcentral